GAAAUGCGAUACGUAAUGCGAAUUGCAGAUUUUCGUGAAACAUCAAAUCUUUGAACGCAACUUGCGCUCUGGGGAAACCUGGAGCAUGCCUCUCUGAGUGUCGUCACAACCAACCUCGGCUGCGACCGUUUUUUUAAACAGUCGCUGAGUCCGGAUAGUGAGAGUCAUUGGACUUUUUUGUUCAGUGUCUCUUUAAGUUGAUGCUACAAAUUAGCUCUUAGCUUGAUGUUAUCCAUCUGGCUGAUGCUUGAUAACUGACCUUAUGGUCAUUCUCUGCAUCUGGCUUGGGAUGCUUCAAGAAUUUGCGGCUAUUUUAUUGUAGCCUCAAAAGGAAAACAUAACUUUUUGAUUCGCGAUCUCAGAUGAAGCAAGAUUACCCGCCGAAUUUAA
This 390-nucleotide unclassified non-coding RNA is filed under the name uncultured fungus. Its description in RNAcentral is "sequence contains ITS1". The stretch from base 1 to 103 matches the Rfam family "5.8S ribosomal RNA", at positions 50 to 154 of the family's 154-position model. The record is from RNAcentral. Lineage: Eukaryota; Fungi.